GGCUUAGUGGUUCAGUGGUAAAGCGCUCGUCGCGGACUCAGAGGGGCCUGGCUUCGGUCCCCGACGGGGUCG
Molecule: transfer RNA, 72 nt
Filed under: Schistosoma japonicum
Lineage: Eukaryota; Metazoa; Platyhelminthes; Trematoda; Strigeidida; Schistosomatidae
Description: tRNA-Pro
Source: RNAcentral